This is a non-coding RNA of Erythranthe guttata (spotted monkey flower), 212 nucleotides long. The record is from RefSeq and is a predicted model, not a curated record. NCBI's taxonomy places the organism in Eukaryota, Viridiplantae, Streptophyta, Magnoliopsida, Lamiales, Phrymaceae.
UAUAAUAAAUAGGUCGAAAACAAAGUCUAUAAGCAAAGCGUCAUCGUUCAUUCCACCACCACCACAUUCCUCACUUUCUUUAUCAUUUUCCUUUGCUCUUUCUUCACCGUCAUCGUUUUCUUCCAAAAAGUGAUAUCCAGGUGGAAUGGCCAAGAGUUCAUUCAAGCAAGAGCAUGAUCUUGAGAAAAGGCGUGUUUUGGCUGCUAGGAUUA